CCUACGGGGGGCAGCAGUGAGGAAUAUUGGUCAAUGGGCGGGAGCCUGAACCAGCCAAGUCGCGUGAGGGACGACGGUCCUAUGGAUUGUAAACCUCUUUUGUCGGGGAACAAAGGCGCCCACGGGUGGGCGGAUGAGUGUACCCGAAGAAAAAGCAUCGGCUAACUCCGUGCCAGCAGCCGCGGUAAUACGUAGGGAGCAAGCGUUGUCCGGAAUUACUGGGUGAAAAGGGAGCGUAGGCGGGGAUGCAAGUUGGGUGUCAAAACUACCGGCUCAACCGAUAGUCGCACUCAAAACUGCAACUCUUGAGUGAAGUAGAGGCAGGCGGAAUUCCUAGUGUAGCGGUGAAAUGCGUAGAUAUUAGGAGGAACACCAGUGGCGAAGGCGGCCUGCUGGGCUUUUACUGACGCUGAGGCUCGAAAGUGUGGGGAGCAAACAGGAUUAGAUACCCCUGUAGUC
Molecule: ribosomal RNA, 459 nt
Filed under: uncultured bacterium
Lineage: Bacteria
Description: partial 16S ribosomal RNA
Rfam family: Bacterial small subunit ribosomal RNA
Source: RNAcentral